This 2414-nucleotide long non-coding RNA is filed under the name Bemisia tabaci. RNAcentral describes it as "lncRNA ENSSSA1NGG014585". Lineage: Eukaryota; Metazoa; Arthropoda; Insecta; Hemiptera; Aleyrodidae. The record is from RNAcentral.
CACAGAUAGCGCCAGUGUAUCCUGUUGUCCCGUCCUACAGUUGCGUCAUCUUACUCGAGCCGCGUCCAACGAGGUUAUCGUGUCCUGUUCGCUGUCCCUUCGAUUUUCCCUCAAGCAAAAAGUGAUACUUAUCGUCAACACCCAAAGCAAGGCCAUGGAAUCAGGCGCAAACACUAUUAUUCGUUACAUUUUCCAUGGAUUUUACGUCUUGAACGUUGUGGAGCAGUUGAAUGAAGGCGCUAUCAGCUUGUCGUAUCGAUUGACGCGUCUCGAACCUUAGAUUCCCGCAGAACUUCAUGACUGCCGGCGGAGAUUCCAGUUAGAGGAUUCAAGCUGGCGGAACAAAACGAUGAGGCAGCUGCCACCCGCCCUCAGAUGCUAAAUAUUUGCCAUCGAGACGCUCAAACUAUAACAGACGUUUGCAGCGGUGGGGAUCUGCCUGAAGUCGAAAUCGUCAGCCUCUUGCAGGAAUCGAUUCCGCGCUACACGUUACGAGCGGACUCACUUGUUGAAUUUUCUGGUUACGAAAAUCAAGACUGGUUUAUUCCAACCCUGCUUUGAAACUAGAUAACGCUCAACUCUCGCCCGACCAAAUCCGGGAGACCUUAAACUAUUUUCGUGAGUAAUUUUUUCUCAAGUCCUAAUAUUUUUUGCUCUGUUGUUUAUUCAUUCUACUUUGCUGCUGUCACUUUCAUUCUAAAUCUUCGAAGUUUAUCAAAAAAGCCUAUUCAAGAAGGUAUUAUUUUCUGCACUUUUUGGCCGUGUAAGUUGGUCCUUAAUUUGCGCUAUUUACUUCAAAGGGAAUAAGUUCCGAGCCACUCAUACCAUAUUUUCCAUCUUUUCUUCCCCUUGUCUCCAUCACAAGGUGAAAAGAACAGAUUCACAUUCUCGCCAAAUCUUGGUUGAAGGGAUGAUCUCAGUUUUGGCAUUUAAUCUUAUUGUUAGUCUCCUGGGUUGUCAGAUAAUAUUUAUUUAGCAUCGGUUUUUUAGAAAAAGGAUGGAGGUUUCCAAUGUAAUGCCUCUAGAACCACUAAUGUGCUUCCCUUUUUCUGUUUGAUGAUGUGUAUACCAUUUUCGUGCUCCCGGAUUUUUUGCAGAAUUAUUCGUUUGUUGUUCCAAAAAGUUUCUGCAAUUAAUGCCCACAAAUAAUAUCCAAGUGAAAUUUGUAGCACAGUGGCAUGUAUGAGAAUUUCCUGCUAAAUUCUCAAGGAAUUCUAAAUUAGCUUCCCAAUUUUACGUAGUUUUUGAGAUCUUUCGGAAAGAUCAAGAGCAUACGCCGAUUAAUAGUGGACUUAAUUUCAGCAUAGUGGGACUUACCCAACUGUCACUUUUUCUCCUCAAGAAGUUAGAAAUAUUUAUACAUCUUGGUUAGUUUGGAUGCAAAGCUAGAAAUUUUGAAAAAUUUUCAAAUUAAAUAAACUAGGAAAUUUCUGAAUUUUUCCGAUAGUCUAGGGCUCGAAAUUUUUGAGAACAGUUUGGCAGAUUCUGAUGAUGUUUAAGGAUAUCUGCAGCUUUCCUAAUUUUUGGGACACUCUCAAUUUUUACACAAGAACUGAAAUCUGCAAUUUAGUAGCAUUCGGGGAAAUCAAUUGAGAUGAAUGUAGAACAUUUUUCCGCUUGUUUUGAGCCAGUGUCGUCCCCGUAUACAGAGUGCAAAGAGGAGCAAUUUUUUGGAAAACUCUGCUUUUAUGCGGAUGCAUGUGGAGUGUUGAUCUAUCAUUAAGAGGACUUGAAAAAUCUCCACACAGUUUGUUUCUUUUAUCACUACCAUUGAAAAUUCGGAGGAACUUGCAUGAAUUAUCAUCAAUUUUUUUCAUGCUUUUUUUCGAAAAUGCUCCUGACAAUCAGGUGAGACCCUCAUAAGUUAACGACCGACUAAUUUGCAGGCGGGAACUAAUUUUUCUCACAGUAGUGCAAAUUGAAAGUUAGCUUGACCUGACAGUUGGCUAACAUUCUGUUUGUCAGUAAUGAACAACCAACGUUGAACAGCUGUGCUCUCGUUGAGAGCUCUUGUAUCUUCUAAAAAUAUAAAAGAAUUUUUGAGUCAAGGUCACUUGAUUAUUCUCUCAUCUUCUGAGGCCCAUCGAUAUGAUUUUGGGAAGAACAUCUGAAACAUUUUAAAUAGAAAAUAUAUAUUAGAAAGUAUGGAUAUAUUUUCUAUUUAUAUAUUGAAUGAAUUAGGCAAGGCACUUUUUUAGAUUUUUAGACCCGACAAAGGGAGUUUUAAAAAAUGUGUCGCCUUCAAAACACUGUAAUGGACUGUCCAAUUUUGGCGCUAAGGAGGAACGCCAAAUAAGAAUUCAAAUGUUGUCAAAUUUCCUUUCAUGAAACAUUCAUUCAAGAGAAAAGUUAUGAACAUUUUCCUGCGAAAAUUUCAGGAGUGAUAGCUUUUUAUUUAAUAAGUUUUUUUAAAG